This 176-nucleotide unclassified non-coding RNA is filed under the name uncultured Cladophialophora. RNAcentral describes it as "sequence contains ITS2". Lineage: Eukaryota; Fungi; Ascomycota; Eurotiomycetes; Chaetothyriales; Herpotrichiellaceae. The record is from RNAcentral.
UCACCCCUCAAGCCCCGUGCUUGGUGUUGGACGGCUUGGUCGCGUCACCGCGACUCCUCCUAAAGACAAUGACGGCGGCCUGUGGUUCCCCCGGUACACUGAGCUUUUAAUUGAGCACGUAUUGGAUAAGGGCGCCCGGGACCCGGUCUUCUCCUCUCACGAGGAAAUUUUUUCAA